RNAcentral lists this transfer RNA (92 nucleotides) under Omnitrophica bacterium GWA2_52_12. RNAcentral's name for it is "tRNA-Ser". It matches the Rfam family "tRNA". Rfam says of the family: Transfer RNA (tRNA) molecules are approximately 80 nucleotides in length. The record is from RNAcentral. Lineage: Bacteria; Pseudomonadati; Candidatus Omnitrophota.
GGAGAGAUGCCGGAGCGGUCGAACGGGCUCGCCUGGAAAGCGGGUAGGCUCUGAAAGGGGUCUCCAGGGUUCAAAUCCCUGUCUCUCCGCCA